RNAcentral lists this ribosomal RNA (255 nucleotides) under uncultured prokaryote. RNAcentral describes it as "partial 16S ribosomal RNA". It matches the Rfam family "Bacterial small subunit ribosomal RNA", at positions 522 to 776 of the family's 1533-position model. The record is from RNAcentral.
AAUACGUAGGGUGCAAGCGUUGUCCGGAAUUAUUGGGCGUAAAGAGCUCGUAGGCGGUCUGUCGCGUCUGGUGUGAAAACUCAGGGCUUAACCCUGAGCUUGCAUCGGGUACGGGCAGACUAGAGUGUGCUAGGGGAGACUGGAAUUCCUGGUGUAGCGGUGAAAUGCGCAGAUAUCAGGAGGAACACCGGUGGCGAAGGCGGGUCUCUGGGCCGACACUGACGCUGAGGAGCGAAAGCGUGGGGAGCGAACAGG